GGCCCUUGCCCGGCCCUGGAAAAGAAUCAGGAUGCAGACAGUAUUCUGGCAUUGAGUGAGGGGAGGGUUUAGCAUCCUCUCAGCCCAGACCCUGGGAUUCUCAGCUUCUACCCAAACAUGGAAUCUCCUACCAGUGGCCACUCCCCCAGGGGUGGAGACCACACUCCUGGAGCGGGCAGUGAGCCAGAGAGCAGCCAGCAGCCUGUGCGGACUCAGGGCUGGGCUCUGAGCCCUUCUGUCACCGGGAGAAAGCUGGAGGUCUCCAGUAUCCUGGGACCCCACUCCCCCACCCUCACAGGCACUGUGCUUCUCAGGGUGCUGAGAACCUUCCCUGCGGAUUCUCUUGGGUGAAACUCACAGUGGCCUGGGAAGAAAGGCUCAUGGGGAGACUGAGCUAGCUUCACAGAUGGAGUUAAGUGGGGAGAGGGAGGUAAAUGCAAAAGCUCUUUGAAAACCUAACUGCAUUUGGUAAAUUGGAAAAGGGCUUUCUAAACCAUCUGUGGGGCACAUCAUAAAGUUCUUUGUGUGGAGC
RNAcentral lists this non-coding RNA (532 nucleotides) under Pongo abelii (Sumatran orangutan). Lineage: Eukaryota; Metazoa; Chordata; Mammalia; Primates; Hominidae. The record is from RNAcentral.